This 253-nucleotide ribosomal RNA is filed under the name uncultured bacterium. RNAcentral describes it as "partial 16S ribosomal RNA". It matches the Rfam family "Bacterial small subunit ribosomal RNA", at positions 524 to 776 of the family's 1533-position model. The record is from RNAcentral.
UACAGAGGGUGCAAGCGUUGUUCGGAAUUAUUGGGCGUAAAGCGCGUGUAGGCGGCUUGUUAAGUCGGGUGUGAAAGCCCUCAGCUCAACUGAGGAAGUGCGCCCGAAACUGGCGAGCUUGAGUGCCGGAGAGGAUGGCGGAAUGCCCCAAGUAGAGGUGAAAUUCGUAGAUAUGGGGCGGAACACCGGUGGCGAAGGCGGCCAUCUGGACAGUAACUGACGCUGAGACGCGAAAGCGUGGGUAGCAAACAGG